UGCCCAAGAGAUCGGGAUAACACCUGGAAACAGAUGCUAAUACCGGAUAACAACAGAUGAUGCCUAUCAACUGUUUAAAAGAUGGUUCUGCUAUCACUCUUGGAUGGACCUGCGGUGCAUUAGCUAGUUGGUAAGGUAACGGCCUACCAAGGCGAUGAUGCAUAGCCGAGUUGAGAGACUGAUCGGCCACAUUGGGACUGAGACACGGCCCAAACUCCUACGGGAGGCAGCAGCA
This 235-nucleotide ribosomal RNA is filed under the name uncultured Lactobacillus sp. RNAcentral describes it as "partial 16S ribosomal RNA". It matches the Rfam family "Bacterial small subunit ribosomal RNA", at positions 127 to 355 of the family's 1533-position model. The record is from RNAcentral. Lineage: Bacteria; Bacillati; Bacillota; Bacilli; Lactobacillales; Lactobacillaceae.